RNAcentral lists this ribosomal RNA (1447 nucleotides) under Lactiplantibacillus plantarum. RNAcentral describes it as "bacterial SSU rRNA". It matches the Rfam family "Bacterial small subunit ribosomal RNA". Lineage: Bacteria; Bacillati; Bacillota; Bacilli; Lactobacillales; Lactobacillaceae. The record is from RNAcentral.
GCAGUCGAACGAACUCUGGUAUUGAUUGGUGCUUGCAUCAUGAUUUACAUUUGAGUGAGUGGCGAACUGGUGAGUAACACGUGGGAAACCUGCCCAGAAGCGGGGGAUAACACCUGGAAACAGAUGCUAAUACCGCAUAACAACUUGGACCGCAUGGUCCGAGUUUGAAAGAUGGCUUCGGCUAUCACUUUUGGAUGGUCCCGCGGCGUAUUAGCUAGAUGGUGAGGUAACGGCUCACCAUGGCAAUGAUACGUAGCCGACCUGAGAGGGUAAUCGGCCACAUUGGGACUGAGACACGGCCCAAACUCCUACGGGAGGCAGCAGUAGGGAAUCUUCCACAAUGGACGAAAGUCUGAUGGAGCAACGCCGCGUGAGUGAAGAAGGGUUUCGGCUCGUAAAACUCUGUUGUUAAAGAAGAACAUAUCUGAGAGUAACUGUUCAGGUAUUGACGGUAUUUAACCAGAAAGCCACGGCUAACUACGUGCCAGCAGCCGCGGUAAUACGUAGGUGGCAAGCGUUGUCCGGAUUUAUUGGGCGUAAAGCGAGCGCAGGCGGUUUUUUAAGUCUGAUGUGAAAGCCUUCGGCUCAACCGAAGAAGUGCAUCGGAAACUGGGAAACUUGAGUGCAGAAGAGGACAGUGGAACUCCAUGUGUAGCGGUGAAAUGCGUAGAUAUAUGGAAGAACACCAGUGGCGAAGGCGGCUGUCUGGUCUGUAACUGACGCUGAGGCUCGAAAGUAUGGGUAGCAAACAGGAUUAGAUACCCUGGUAGUCCAUACCGUAAACGAUGAAUGCUAAGUGUUGGAGGGUUUCCGCCCUUCAGUGCUGCAGCUAACGCAUUAAGCAUUCCGCCUGGGGAGUACGGCCGCAAGGCUGAAACUCAAAGGAAUUGACGGGGGCCCGCACAAGCGGUGGAGCAUGUGGUUUAAUUCGAAGCUACGCGAAGAACCUUACCAGGUCUUGACAUACUAUGCAAAUCUAAGAGAUUAGACGUUCCCUUCGGGGACAUGGAUACAGGUGGUGCAUGGUUGUCGUCAGCUCGUGUCGUGAGAUGUUGGGUUAAGUCCCGCAACGAGCGCAACCCUUAUUAUCAGUUGCCAGCAUUAAGUUGGGCACUCUGGUGAGACUGCCGGUGACAAACCGGAGGAAGGUGGGGAUGACGUCAAAUCAUCAUGCCCCUUAUGACCUGGGCUACACACGUGCUACAAUGGAUGGUACAACGAGUUGCGAACUCGCGAGAGUAAGCUAAUCUCUUAAAGCCAUUCUCAGUUCGGAUUGUAGGCUGCAACUCGCCUACAUGAAGUCGGAAUCGCUAGUAAUCGCGGAUCAGCAUGCCGCGGUGAAUACGUUCCCGGGCCUUGUACACACCGCCCGUCACACCAUGAGAGUUUGUAACACCCAAAGUCGGUGGGGUAACCUUUUAGGAACCAGCCGCCUAAGGUGGGACAG